Molecule: RNA transcript, 12775 nt
Organism: Aedes albopictus (Asian tiger mosquito)
Lineage: Eukaryota; Metazoa; Arthropoda; Insecta; Diptera; Culicidae
Gene: BuGZ
Gene name: BUB3-interacting and GLEBS motif-containing protein ZNF207
Exons: 8
Source: RefSeq, a predicted model, not a curated record
CGUCAAAAUUUCGUCUCCGUCUCCAUUUUUCUUCGUGCUCGGUUCGGAAGGUGAAAAAUUUGCGCUGUAAUUUCUCGAUUUUGUCGCGCAUAAAUUGCCGUAUUUUCAUCGGAUCGUAGUGUCGAAGUGAAGUUAGUGCUGUGAUAAACAAAAUUUGCUAGUUAAAAGGAAAAAUCCGGUGGUGUUAGGACGUGAAAAAAGCAAAAGAAUAUUCGGCCUUGUUGGGGCCUCGUUCAUUAGCACCUAGCAGCAAGCAGCUCAGCGGAGUAGAAAAAUCCAAUAAUGGGUCGCAAAAAGAAGAAGGCGUCGAAGCCGUGGUGCUGGUACUGCAAUCGUGAGUUCGACGAUGAAAAGAUUCUGGUGCAGCAUCAGAAGGCGAAACAUUUCAAGUGUCACAUCUGCCACAAGAAGCUUUACACCGGGCCGGGACUGUCCAUCCACUGUAUGCAGGUGCACAAGGAAUCGAUCGACAAAGUGCCAAACUCGUUGCCGAAUCGGUCCAACAUCGAGAUAGAAAUCUACGGAAUGGAGGGUAUCCCGCCGGAGGACAUUCGGGAGCACGAGAAGCAGAAGAACGGAGGCGGUGGCGGCGGCAAUCGGUCCGACUCGGAGGAGGACGAACCGGCACACAAGAAACCGAAACCGGAAGCACCGGUUUCGCAGGGUAUGGUCAUGCCAAAUAUGAUGGCACCGCAUCUACAGCCGUACGGAAUGAAUCCGAUGAUGGCAACGAUGGGUCACAUGCCCUACAUGGUGCCCCCGGGAAUGCAGAUGAUGCCACCGAUGAUGGGUGGCCACCCGAGGCCACUGUUCCCGGCAGCCGCCUCAUCCACUACAAUCUCCGCCAAUCCCGCUCUCAACAAGGCAACAUUCCCUGCCUACAGUAGUGCGACGAUCAGUGCCCCGCCUACGACCAAUUCGGCCAACGCGGCAAGCGCAGCAGCUACGGGCGAUGCGGCCAAAUCUUCGACUGUGAUACCCGCCACCGGAACGACUUCCAAAAUAGUGCACCCGCCCGAGGACCUCAGCCUGGAGGAGAUUCGCGCCCGAAAGCCCCAGUACCACAAAAAGAUAAGUAUGGCCACGCAGCAGCUUCUGCAGCAGAAACAGCAGGAGAAACAUGCGGCAGCGGCCGUAGCGGCGGCCACAGCAGCCGCCCAGCAGCAGCAACAGCAGGUCCAAGCCCAUCUCAAAGCGCUCUCUUCGGCGGCCGCGGCCAGUGGGACCAACACCAUCGUGACGAGUCACCCUGGCAAAGACAGCCGGCUUCUGUCGCCCCAUGAGCAAGCAGCCGUGAUAGCGCACGCCCAGGCUGCAGCGGCCAACCAUCAAAAGCAUAUUGACGACCUAAAUCGAGCCGCCAUGAUCCAACGGUUACAGGCAGCGAAUGCAGCGGCCGCUUCGGCUGCCGCAGCUCGACCCGGAAUGCCAAUCGGAAUGGUACCGAUGUCGUUGAACGGUCCCAUGCAGCUGGUGAAUCCAAUGAUGCGACAGGGGCUGGCAAUAGGUCAUCCUGGGGCGGCCUUGAUUGGCGGAAAUAUGCUCCGCCCUGGCCCUCCGCAGAUGGGGCUUGGUCCAGGAAUUAUUUGAGUAAAUGUUCCCCAUUUUCCACACCUCUAUAACCGAUGAUAAAGAUUGUCACCACUUCCAUAUCCGUAACGCACACACUGAAAAAAAAAGUAAUUACUAAACUUGAUACAAAACAUCAAAAAACAAAUGCAAGAGAUCAUCCCACUUCUACCGCAAACUAUGUACACGUGCAACCGAACCAACCGAGAAAAGUAUACGUGAAAUUCACAAUUCGUCACUCCAUUUGCCGCCACAACCGCCAUGUGGCCUCAUCACGCAGAUUCCAGGAGUGCCAGGCAUGGGCAUGGUGUUUCCGGGGCCGCCGAUGUUGCCGAUGCUGCCGCCCCGUUUCCGGUGAUCAGUUCAGGCACCAGUGGUGCUGCAGACUGCCGCCGGGCCUCUGCUGAACCUUGGCCUGCCGAUUGUGUUCCCUUGAAGAGUCAGGAGACCGGAGGAGCAAGGGAACCAAGCAAGGGCUGUGUGUGGUGGUAGCAACAAACCACUCCCCUAAACGGAUGGACGCCGGCUUCGGCAGGAUCUUCAGCGAUCUUCUCCAUAGCAAGCAAGUGGCAAUUUUUCUUCUAUAUAAUGUUUUGUAUAAUCCUAAUCACCUCUAGUGGGUAGUGACUAAGAUAGUAAGGCCUUACACAGUUCUUUUAUUCAAAGCGUGGGUUGUUACGAGUUUCGGAAGAUUCUCCUUUUGCUCUUUCCUUUCUGCAGUUCAGGUAGAGAUUAUCGUGUAACCGUGUAUUACGAUAUCAAGAUAUUAGUGGAUUAUAGUAAUUUAGACGUUAUAGGAUACUCCUUACGUAUAAUCAAUACAGCUUGAAGCUGAUAGAUUGUUGGAAGUGCCAUUCGCGCUACCAAUCGCUGUAAUCGAUGUCAGAAAGGGUAUCAUUAAUAUGAACUCAUAAACUAAUUCAAUACCCUAGUUGAGCAUUUUGGCUUCAUCUGGAAGAGUAUUGCGGAUCUGACAGGAUUCUAAAGCUUCUAAAGCUUAAAGCUUAGCUUGUUAUAAUCAGUACACAUUUGCAAAUGUAAACGAAAGUACUGUUCCUUUUAGUUUCACUAAAAAUUUGCAUCCUUUGACAGAUAAGUAUCUUGACCCACACUGUAAGGUCGUUUUCAGAGUAUCGUAAUUUGACUCGACAUUUUCUUUGAAUUUAUGUCAAAAUGUACCCCAAAAAGUCACCAAUAUAUCGAUUCUAGUAUGUAAAGAGCAUUGUACUGAUUCUGACUAGCGUUAACUUUAGAAACAAAAUAUUGUUCACGGUCAACAAAUUUUACAUCAGAUCAGAUCAUGCGACAACAUAGUACUCUUGUCCAGUGAAAGCUCAUCAAGCAAAACUCAUCUUUUUUUUUCCUUUCUGACAAACAACAACACCCAGUAGCACUGUUAUACCAAUGAUAUAAAUAGCACGCCCCAAGUCGCAAUAAUCCUUAAUAGUAGUGUACGUAUGUGUGUAUAUUCGACAGGUUCACUCCCACGCGCAUAUCGCUGAGAUAUCUAAACCCAACAAAACUGAGCCCGCGAACAGAUAAGCAAUGCUUUCGACUACUAUUUUCCAACUAGCGCCUACAUGGUUAAUAAGAAACACUGCUAAAACAUGAUGGCCUUCCUCUGCGUAAGUCACAAAAAAGGGGUAUGUCAUUUUUAUUAUUUGUUUCUAUACACUUAGUAUAUACCAAACUUAAUCAACAUCAAGAAAUAAUACCAUAAAACUAUAUGGGAUAUAUAAGGAAGGAAUCGAUGUCAAGAUUACUAGGUUGUGUGCGGGAGCAUUAAGGAUCAAAUUUUAAGCACAGUCACAGUUUUGAAACAGGAAUUUUCAUGACAAAUAUGUUAGCUUUCAGAAACAAAACAAAAAUAGGUAAAACUUUGCUCAACGGAACAGAAUUAGAAACACACAUUUGAUAUUUGAUCUUCAUACUUUUAACUUGUUUUCUAUCAAAAUCCAGUAUCUAGUAAUCGUUCAAAUACAAUAGAUAACAGUCCUUGUGCAUUGUUCAGGGAAGCAUGCAUUAGAAAAACGAUCAAUUUUCACAACAGAUCAUAGGAUUUUUCCCAGUUAAAAAAUCAAUACUAACCAGUUUUGCAUAGACAUAAGUCACUUUUCGUUUCUCAAAAUAGAAUUCUGCGUCUUUCCAAAUACCCAAACAAAUAACCAACAUAUUUACUCUGUAUGUUUCGUUCGAACAGAAUUUGCGUUAUCCUCUUAGAAUUUCCGAGUAGCGCGAAAGAGACCCCCCUCUGCUUUGCGGCAACGUGAGAGUGAAACAGAUAUUCGAAAACGAAAAAAAAAGUAGGUACACACACGACUGUAAAAGACUCACUCGGCGCGCGCAAGGUAAGGGGUUCACCAUUUUAUCAAUCUAUACUAUAUUACGCCUAAUCAGAGAUUACCCAGGGUCUACACACCUUUGUCAUAAGUUAAGGCGCCCCAUUUCAAAUAAUACCACUCAGGUUUACAAGUGGUUCGGUACGUGGACUGGGAGGGACACACAUCUACACGACGUGAAACUUUUUGCGUCUGUCUGCGAUGGCACCCCUCGUCGGAGAGGCUGGCAACUCUGACGGGAAUCGUUCGGGAGAUAUGGCAGCACUGCUGUCAAUUGAGCAGUGGUGCCAAUUGCAAAAGCUUGGAAAAAGUUUAUGAAUUUCUGGGAAUAAUAAGAGUUGCCGGUUUGCACGACACGUUGCUUUCGCUUCAAUUUCUUCUAAUUUUGCCCGUUGAAAAAGAUCUAGUUGAGAUCCUCAAGUGUAAUACAGAGCUGUUUUUUUUUCAUUUUCUGUUGGUUGGUUAAGGCGCUUUCAUUGUGCGUGUGUGUGUUUUUUGAAAAUUAUACUUUUUCUCUUGGAUCAUACACCAUCCGUAAGGAACGUAUUUCUCAUUAGUUGUUCGUAUUACACCAUGAUUUGUAACGAAUUUUUGUUUUAUUCGUUUAGUUUUAUUUUUCAAUUUCAUAUGCUAUGCUGUGUUCGAACAUUAUAGACAUUGUUGGAAGAAUGUGAAUCUUUCCUACACAGGCAAAAUUGCAUAUAUCGAUAGAGAAAGUGGCUUUUUCCUUAAAGAUGUAGUGUGUUUAGUCUCGAUAAAAUGAUAUGUUAGGGUUAUGGUCCAACUAGCAGGUUGUGGGAUCCGUUUUCAUUUGCAAGUAGACGGUUGCUUUCAUCAUUUUUAAUUUCCUUUCCAUUGAACACAUAGAGUUGACACCAUUGAAAGCGUAGGUUAGAAACAUCACUAUCCUGUCUGUUUAUUAUUAUUUUUCAAAUUUUACUAACCUAUCACUCUCUCCGAACGCGUAAGUACACAUCUACUUUUAUUUUUUUCCCCACACACAUAUAUUAUUUACUUUUAUUAUUUUCCAAUCUUCUGUCAUAAACCUUCCGAACAUCACUACAGGCAAGUAAUCACUAAAUUAUUAUGGAAUGCAAAUAAUCGUAAUAAAAAGCGAAUGUUAUCGGGUUCAGAGUGGUUGGACAUUGAUAUCAGCGAUUUAACAGUGUAUUAUAAGGUCUACUUGGCAGGAAAUCAUAGUUACUGACAUCUGUCGUUGAUUCGCCAGAUUUUCAACAUGGUUCAGAUGAUUCGUUAUGCGAAUUUUAGCGGAUUUCUCUCAACGUACGGUUUCUGGUGACAUCCCUACAUUAUUGACGGAACUUCAAAACAGUGUGUGAAAGACAAAUCAGUACAAAACUUCGUGUCUCUAGUACACAACUAUUAACACAAAUAUCUUUCCCAUAAUCAGGGAUGCCAUAUAUACAGAUUUAUCUGUAACAAACAGAUUUUUGCGCAUCCGUGCUUAUGUAAAACGAAAUAUGAAAUACAGAUUUUUGAGCUGGAGGAGCUAUUUUGUUGUUGUAUGGGAUACUGAUUUUUUUUUUAAAUAUCUGGCGUCCCUGCCCCUAAUACUGAAUUCUGAAUGUUCCAUGUGGUUCCUUGUAUAAGUUGAAGAUUUUCCCAGAUGAAUAUGUGAAAAACAAGUAAAAUCCCGAAACGUCUGUCAUAUUUUACUCGGGUUCGUGUUGCUCGUAUUUGCCCAGCCGAAUCGUGAAAUUGCUGGUAGCGCUACGCCACCCAGUAUGAUUUUCCUGUCGUGUGUGUUCAGAUGCUACUGAUAGCAGUUCUGAAAGUGAAACGGUUGGUAGCACUACACCAUCCGGUAAAUUGUUGUUAGCACAGUGAUUAGAUUAUAGCUUUUUUUUGGUAAACAUAAGCAAAAACGUGUCAAAACACGUUUUUUAUACUUCUUCACGCAUACGUCGACGGAUUCAAAUGGGAUCAGAGAACAUUCAAAAUCAGCUAGUUUUGGGGACCUUUGACAGUUCUCCUAUGAAAAAUGACAAUUCAGCGUUUGCGCCUUUGUUCGGCAGUUCUAAACAGUGGCAUACAUGAACCUCUAACUAAAAAGGCCUAUUGGAAUGAGUUCAUUUUUGCUGCCGUCAAAGCCAAUGAACUUGUCCACUUGCAUUCGGCGAGAUCCGGUGAACAUCCAGUGAACUUUCGGUCGCUGGAUGUUCAUGAAUGUGUUAGUUUUUGUAAACAGUGCCCGCAUUUGCAGAGAAAUAGAAGAAUCAACUCGGGGAAAAAAGAAGACCGUGGAUUACUCCAUAGGGCUAAUCGCAAGACGUUUAAAAUCAGUGGAUUUUUGGGGCCUUUGACAGUUCUAUCAAAAUGACAGUCCGGUGUUUGCAGUUGUAAACAAUAGCAUACACGAACCUGUCAAAUGAAAAGGCCUAUGGUGAAAUUCGUUCGAAACUGAUUGCAGCAGGCGCAGUAGGCUGUUUCGCGUAACUUGAUUUGAAACUAAUGGUGGCACCCCCCCCCCCCAACCCCCCCCCCCCCCACCCGUAACUUGACAGAUGAGCUCAGUAUCGCGUACCUACUUGCAAAUCGCAGAUGUCGCUACUGUACGUAAACAACGGGUCCAUCCUUCCCUGACGCAACAAUUUUUGUCCUCGCGAAAACAUCUUUUUGUUGCGUGGUGAGUGGAAGCCAAAGAGAGGCUACCGUUUCAUAUCAAAAGGACGUAUUCUACAGAAGCGCAAAAACUAAUGUUCAUUAAAUUCAAAUCAUUUUGAAUUUUCUUUUGGUUGCUGUAAUAAAUGAAAUAAAAGCACAUGUUUAAACGGUCGUGCAUAUUAAUUUGUUACUGUACAUACAAAAUCAAACCGAGGAUAAAACUCGAAAAAAAAUUGCAAAUGAUUAUUUUUAACUUCUUUUUUCGCUUUGCCACCAGAUAUGCAGCUGUAAAAUGUUGGCAUAAGUAGCAAAUUUAUUACUUGCAGGUCCAUAUUAACCGCACCAGAAGAAAACAUGAGUUUCUGAUUAAUUUUAUGAAAGUCGACUAAUUUGACUUGACCCGUUUUUAUUGAUAUAAUUUUCGCUUCUAGUAAACAAAUUCAUCAUGCCGCACUUUAUUUGCAUUUUCCUACGGCAGAAAAACGGAAACAACACAUUAAGGUUCCUCUUCUUCUUCUUGGCGUAACGUCCUCAUUGGGACAAAGCCUGCUUCUCAGCUUAGUGUUCUAUGAGCACUUCCACAGUUAUUAACUGAGAGCUUCCUCUGCCAAUGACCAUUUUGCAUGCGUAUAUCGUGUGGCAGGCACGAAGAUACUCUAUGCCCAAGGAAGUCAAGGAAAUUUCCUUUACGAAAAGAUCCUGGACCGACCGGGAAUCGAACCCGUCACCCUCAGCAUGGUCAUGCUGAAUACCCGUGCGUUUACCGCCUCGGCUAUAUGGGCCCUACAUUAAGGUUCCUGUUUAAUGUAUUAAUAUGUUUUGUGCGGUUUGUUAUUAUUAGAUUUCGUCCUUUUCAAAAGUAGCGCUUGCCGCUUUGAAUCUGACAGUACCACCCGGACCAAAAUUUUUAGGUACGCUGACGUUGUUCGGCAGCUGUCAAGUUGCUCCCGGGUUGGGUGGCACCAAGGUAUUUACAUAUUCAGAAGGUAUUCCCAAAUGUCAAACAAUUUCGGGAAGCCGACAAUCACGAUGAGAUGCUGUAAAUUCCAUGUUGAAGUUAGAACCCAUCCAGAAAUUUUUCCACAAGGGUUUUUUUUUCCAAAUUCCGUCAGAGUUUCUUCUCAGAUUUUUGAGGAGAUGUCUAUUGGAAUGUCCUGGAUUUCUCAUAAGAUUCCUACCGUAUUUUGCAUGACAUUUCCCUAGUGUUCAUUCUUGAAUUCUUCAUUGCAAGAAGAAAAUGUUUGGUAGAUCUCAGAUCACUUUGACAGAUAACGCUUGAGCGAAAAAAGGGCAUGCAGAACUGUCAGAGUGACCUGAGAAUGGUGGAACCGUGUAACCCGAGCAGCAGAAAGUAGCUGAAGAAUAUCGAAUUCAGGUUUGGAAAAUCGAAUACCUACAACCUGAGAAGCCUAUUAAGAAGCCCUGCAUAAGAGGUAAAACACCCAAAAUAAUAACUGGUGUGUAUUCUGUGCAUAACACGUGAAUAAUGACAUCAGGUAUGGCAUUACCUCAAUAAUAAUCGGCUAUUUUUCCAUACAAAUUGCGAUUUUUCCAUAAUUGAAUAAUACCUCAAGCAGUCCUCAACACCAAAUCAAUAACUCGUUGAGGUGUUCUAUCAAUACCUACAAAACACCAAAAUAAGUUAUUUUCAAUAUCUGGGUAACCGACCAAUACCUUGUCUUGGUAAUGAUACCUGACUUUGGUAUGCUGCAGUUAUGUGUCAGUUAUUCGUUCCUGCUCGGGAAUUAAGAAUUCCUCUCGGACGUUCUUUUGGAGUCCUUCUGGCAUUUUUUCCACGAUUCGAUCAAUUCAUGCGCGAAUCUUUCUGAACUCCGACCGAUUUCUUCUGGAGUUCUUAUGGGAAUCCUGAAGAUUUUUUUUCCAGCUCAUGAUAUUGCUGUCUGAAUGCCUCGUGGGAGUUCCUUUUACUUAAAGACAUUUUUGGAUGAUUUCUCCCAGAAUUUAUCCAUGGAUCUCUACAGGAGUCUCUCUAAUGAUGUUGGGAUUCUUUUUUAUUUCCGCAAAAGUUCUGCCGUGGAUUUCUUCCAGUGUAUCUUCAGGAGUUAUUCUUGAAAUUCUUCAUUUCCGAGAACCUUCUUAUACAGAAUCGCCGAGAUUUUUACAGGAGUUUCCCUAGGAUAUUUCUUGAAUGUUUUAGCGGGAUUUCUCAGAGAUGUUUCUGCAUUUAUCCUGAAUAUUUUCCGGGAACUGUCCACAAGUUUCUUCCGAAUUUCCUUUUUGGGAGCUCUGCAGGAUGUUUUGAUGAUAUUUCUCAUGGAGCUGUUCCAGCGAUUUCAUUCGGAGAAUUUUUUUCAAGCUUGUCUUCAUAGUGAUUUCAAGAUUUCUUGCAGUGAACACCACGGAUAUUUUUUUGGAGAUGUUUUCAGAGCUCUUCCCUUAAUUCCAACCGGAAACUGUUGCGAUCCUGGAUGUUCUUUUUAAUACUUCUCUAAUAGCACUAGUUUACAAAAUAAAACGAAAGUUGUGAACUUCUGUCAACGACCAAAAUUUUUGAAGCAUAAUUUAGCGCUGAUUUUGAAACCGUGCUUCAAAAAAAUUAAAGUAGAACAGUUUUUGAGUUUUAGCUCAAUAUCGAGUUUUACAACUUUUUAAAAUAUGAAAUUUAAUAAAAUUAAAAUAUUUUGCGUUUUGUUCAACCAAUUUUAAAUCUUUUUCCAUAAAUUAAAAGCUGAAUAUAAUACCAUUCGAUCAUCUGAAUGCAAGUUUUGCGUCAGACUGAUGAAAUUCAAGAUAUUGGCUAGUUUUGGGGACGAUCUCCUUAAAUUUUAGCAAAUUUUCCAAAAAUAUAUGAAGAAAUGUAUUUUUUUUUAUGAGAAAAAAUCAAUUUUAAAAUUCUUUCUCAACGUUUAUUUGACAUAUCAUAUGUAGACGAGUUACAGUAAAAAAUUCAGAUCAAUCGGAGCAUUGAUUACGGAGAAUGAGAUGUGUGAAAUUAGCGGCUUUGCUUAAAAAUGGAACAAAAAUUGAUUUCAAAUCAUCAACCUGGUAUGGAAAGUUGAAAAAAUUUCCGCUCUACUGUAAUUUUUUUACUUCGCGUUUUCGAACUCAGGGCAUGAUUCUACACCAAAAACGACCAUCAGCUUACCGAGUUCAAAAAUGCUGUAAACUAGUGUAGUUGCUCCCAGAGAUCUUGCAGGAUUUUUACCAGGAGUUUUUCUCGAAAUUUUUUUCUGAUCUAACUUUUUAAAUUAUGUGGAAGAAACUCCCAUAGAAGUAUCGUAAGGUGUAUCCAGAUGCAAUAUUACGAGAAUCUUCGGGAAGACCUAUUGGAAAAAUCUCAAGAGUGACUUCGGAAGAAAUCCUGAGAAGUACUAAGCCAUCUUGAAAACCCUGAGGGUGAUCCCGGGAUGAAAUAUUUGGGAAACUCCGGAAAACAUCUAAUUCCCGGGAAUACUUCUGUCAUGCCAUCUCCGAAAUCUACCAAGCGAAGUUCCUGAAUGAAACUUGGAUUAUUUUUGGACAGAUCUCCAGUGAGAAACUCUGGAAGCAUAUCGGGAAAAUCUCAGGAAGAAAUUCAAGGAAGUACUCAAACGAAACCCCCAUGAAAAACUAAUGCAGUAAUCCUAGGAGGAACUCUAGUAGAAAUCCCAGGAAUGACGCUAAGAAAUCCCGUAAAAUACCCGAAAAAACUCUGAAGAAAACUCUGGAAGUGAAUGUGGAAAAAUCUCUACAUGGAAAAUCUUGGAAGAAAGUCCAUAAAAUAAAAUUCCAAGAAAAAAAGGCUUUGAUAGAUUCAGGGAAGAAAUCUGAGAGAAAUCGUAUGAAAAAUUCUGUCAAAAACUACAAAAAAUUUAUAGAAAGAGACUGUGGUUGAAAUCCAUAGAAGAACCCUACCGAUUUUUUUUUGGAUUCUGAGUGUUUUGUUCGGAAUUUCGGAAAAGAUUUUUUCUAUGCAAGCUCUGACUGAUUUAAGAGAAGGGUUUCUGACGUAAGUCCUAGAACAAUUACUGGUAGAAUUUCGACAAUUUUGAACAUCAUGAUAUCAAUGUCAACCUCCUCCCGCAAUUUGCUUCUAUCCGUAGUGAUAUGUGAAUUCGCAAUACUUAAUCCUCAACCUCUGUAAAAAUUAGUCCAAACCCUUUUGAAAUCAGAAAGCAAACAUUUAAAAAAAUCGAACAAAUCUCACUUCAACUACUUCUUCUUUUACUUUAUUUCUUCCUCUUCAAGAUGUUCUGUGAAAGACAGAGAGAUAGAGAGAGAGAGACACAGAGUUCGCGUACUUAAGACCCCUUUUGAAACCUGACUCUCUUGAUUACGCGAAGCGCAAAAGUGUGUGUGCGUGUCGGACACGUGCUCGAACCGAAACCGAUAAGUACCUCACAUUAUUCUUACUUUUAAUUUCUCUCUUCAUUUUUAUUUAUUAAUACUGUCGAUAGUUCGCGAAACUUACCUGGACAGCACUCAAAUGUUGCACAAAAGUUGAGGAUACUUGUAUGGGAUCGCGUUGGAUCGUAUAGAAGUUACAACAACGUACUGUGCAGAAUUUGUACUGUUCGGUGAAACUAUGUUCAAAGUAUCUUCGGACUCAGAACAUGCGACCAUUGACACUAAACUUAUUACACGUGUACAACCAACCCAGGCAGGUGAUAGUUCGAGACGGGUGUCCGUUAUCACAAACUUGAUGUUGGAUAUUCGCUUAUCCCUUGCACGCGGAUGGAUGUUUGUUGACGGACGUUUCCAGAGUUUGGAAAUUGCAAACCAGCUAACAAAUGCCCAUCCCGCAGGCGACACAGUGACGUAUGGGGGAAGCGUUGAAGCGCUGUCAUGUAGAUUUGACAUCUUUUUUGGAAACAAACAAAUAAUCAAAGUGCUUCAAAGCUUUCCCCGGGGAUUCAUUUGUGUCACAUCAAGUUUGUUGAGUGAGAAGUCCCUUGUCGGUGGUUCGCCAGCGACAGGUGAAAUUUCCCUUUGCUGGAGUUUCACAGCCCGGUCCAGACUUUUAUCAGAUUUUUUUUCUAUAAAUGUGGUGGAGAAGGUUUAAUAUUGGUUAUGUUUUGCGUCAUUGGAGGUUUUCAAUGUAAGCUGUUUUUUUUUCUCACAGUAUAACGAUUACAUAGUAAUAUAUUGAAGGAAUAAUGCGUUUUCCGAGACCAAUGGGCUGUUGGACUUUUCAUCCCCUGCCUGGAAAUAAGGGGCUUCUAGUGCAGUUUUCUCAAACGGUUCGUAAAAUUAGUAAAAAGCAUCGUUUCUUUUUAAGUUUAGUUAACUACAGAUCAAACAUCAGCUACCUUUAGUUUUCCCUUUCGUUCCACUACAUCAACUAAUACCAUUCACCUUUUCCGUGGGCAAGCAAGUUUUCCUUUCUUAUGAUUUGGUAUUCUCCUAAGUAUUGUAUGGCAAGAGAAGUGGGUACUCGGAUUGAUUUCAGUAAUUUGUUUUUCCUGUUUCGUAUACAAGAUAACUCGGUGUGUUGUAUAGUGAGUGACUCAGUCCAAAUAUUGUUAUUGUUAGUCUUAAUUGAAUAUCGAUUUUCUAGAUAAUACCCACAUCAAGCAUUUUUCACCUCACCACAGACAAAGUACGAAUGCCCGAUCCUCUAGUUCGUUCUCAUUUCCCUAUUUCUGCAUCCCCUUUCUCUUCUCCCACUGCAUCGUCCCUUCCGUAGUUAAGUCGUAGAAAACCCCACAAUUUUCAGUUUUCCCUGACUCACCCAACACUAAUUUCCCCAUUUUUCACGCUAGUUUCCCUGCAUCAUUCAUCUAUCAUUUCGGUAAUGGGGUUUUGUAUUCUUUAGUUUAUUCAAUAGGCGUUCGUACAUGCGUUUCUUUAUGCAACUUAAUAGCGUUGUAAUUACUAAGCAACAUAGCAACAAAAAAAUACAGAAUAUUAAACAUUUAACACAAAAUCACAAUCACACUCUGGUAGACGGUGUAUGUUCAACUACUCUUUGUAUAACGUUGUUGCGUGAACCGUAAAAGCAAAAGAAUAACCGGGCGUCAACACUUGACUUCCAUCUAACAACAACAACAACUGCGUUGUGGUUUACUGGUAUACCGAGUGCAAAAAAGAAGAAAAGUCGACUAAAAGCAAUUAUCAACGUGUUUGUUUCGGUUUCCUUUGGAAAAUUUGGAACUUUUCAUACUAAACGUAAAACGAGAAAAAAAACUAAUCGGAUCGGACAGUCAUUAUUUGUGUAGAAGAAAAGAGUGCUGCUUUCGCGGUAGUAAACCUUGAAGUGAAAUAAACAAGAGUACAGUGAAAUGUGGUGUUAAUGUAAGAAA